Molecule: unclassified non-coding RNA, 207 nt
Filed under: Hevea brasiliensis (rubber tree)
Lineage: Eukaryota; Viridiplantae; Streptophyta; Magnoliopsida; Malpighiales; Euphorbiaceae
Source: RNAcentral
GCGUGGGAUUAUUGGAUGAAGGUGUUGGUGAUUGGAAAGGAGAAGGAUUAGGUUGGGACUGUGGAAUUGUGCUAGAGGAACCAGGAGAUGGAAUCUGAACAGAAUUGCCUCCAUAGGGACUGCUUGCAUUAUUCAUAGAACUUUGUUGUCUUGAAUUCAUAGAAUUCUGGUGGAGAAUCCCAGCAAUAGCACUGGCAGAAGUAGACA